Small nucleolar RNA from Psammomys obesus (fat sand rat), 130 nucleotides. RefSeq annotates it as small nucleolar RNA SNORA17. The transcript has a single exon. The record is from RefSeq and is a predicted model, not a curated record. Lineage: Eukaryota; Metazoa; Chordata; Mammalia; Rodentia; Muridae.
CCUGCCCCUAGAGGCAUUGCAGGUGUGACAGCUGUGUGCUGUGUGCAUCAGCAGGUGGCAGAGAGGAGAGAGCCUCCGUCCACACGCGGUGUUCCGACCUGGGAGCAGCUGAGUGUAGCAGCCUGACAUU